RNAcentral lists this ribosomal RNA (199 nucleotides) under uncultured bacterium. Its description in RNAcentral is "partial 16S ribosomal RNA". It matches the Rfam family "Bacterial small subunit ribosomal RNA", at positions 328 to 539 of the family's 1533-position model. The record is from RNAcentral.
ACGCUCGACACCUACGGGGGCAGCAGUUGGGAAUAUUGGACAAUGGAGGAAACUCUGAUCCAGUGACGCCGCGUGAAGGAAGAAGGUCUUCGGAUUGUAAACUUAUUUUGUCAGGGAAGAAAAAUGACUGUACCUGAAGAAAAAGCACCGGCUAACUACGUGCCAGCAGCCGACGGUAAUCUGAGCGGGCUGGCAAGGC